Molecule: non-coding RNA, 26 nt
Filed under: Rattus norvegicus (Norway rat)
Lineage: Eukaryota; Metazoa; Chordata; Mammalia; Rodentia; Muridae
Source: RNAcentral
AAAAAAAUCGUCACUACACAGAUCCC